AACGAACGCUGGCGGCAGGCCUAACACAUGCAAGUCGAGCGCGCCCUUCGGGGUGAGCGGCGGACGGGUGAGUAACGCGUGGGAACGUGCCCUUUUCUACGGAAUAGCCUCGGGAAACUGAGAGUAAUACCGUAUACGCCCUUUGGGGGAAAAAUUUAUCGGAAAAGGAUCGGCCCGCGUUGGAUUAGGUAGUUGGUGGGGUAAUGGCCUACCAAGCUGACGAUCCAUAGCUGGUUUGAGAGGAUGAUCAGCCACACUGGGACUGAGACACGGCCCAGACUCCUACGGGAGGCAGCAGUGGGGAAUCUUAGACAAUGGGGGCAACCCUGAUCUAGCCAUGCCGCGUGAGUGAUGAAGGCCUUAGGGUUGUAAAGCUCUUUCAGCUGGGAAGAUAAUGACGGUACCAGCAGAAGAAGCCCCGGCUAACUCCGUG
RNAcentral lists this ribosomal RNA (433 nucleotides) under uncultured bacterium. Its description in RNAcentral is "partial 16S ribosomal RNA". It matches the Rfam family "Bacterial small subunit ribosomal RNA", at positions 29 to 507 of the family's 1533-position model. The record is from RNAcentral.